GGGCUGGGUUUUUACCCAUCUAAGAUUAAUUGGGUCAACCAUGGGUAUUAAUUUUAAAACCCAUAUUUAUGUUGGGUAAAUACAAAAGGGUAAUGGUGUACCCAUGGGUUUUCAAUUAUAUAUAUAGAUAUUUACCAUUUUAAUUAAAUUAUAUAAAAAUUGCAAAAACGUUUUUUUCCGUCAGAACCAAAAAAUGAUUUUUUUUCGCAAAAACCCUAAAACUAAUAUUUCUAACAGAAACCAAAAACGAGUUUUCCCGCUGAAACCGAAAAAUCGAGUUUUUCUACCGAAACCACAAAACUUGUUUUUCCGCCAAAACCAUAAAACUAAGUUUCCC
Molecule: long non-coding RNA, 337 nt
Filed under: Brassica rapa (field mustard)
Lineage: Eukaryota; Viridiplantae; Streptophyta; Magnoliopsida; Brassicales; Brassicaceae
Description: long non-coding RNA (BRAP_LNC005426)
Source: RNAcentral